UGGGUAACCUGCCUGUAAGACUGGGAUAACUCCGGGAAACCGGGGCUAAUACCGGAUGCUUGAUUGAACCGCAUGGUUCAAUCAUAAAAGGCGGCUUCGGCUGCCGUUUACAGAUGGACCCGCGGCGCAUUAGCUAGUUGGUGAGGUAACGGCUCACCAAGGCGACGAUGCGUAGCCGACCUGAGAGGGUGAUCGGCCACACUGGGACUGAGACACGGCCCAGACUCCUACGGGAGGCAGCAGUAGGGAAUCUUCCGCAAUGGACGAGAGUCUGACGGAGCAACGCCGCGUGAGUGAUGAAGGUUUUCGGAUCGUAGAGCUCUGUUGUUAGGGAAGAACAAGUACCGUUCGAAUAGGGCGGUACCUUGACGGUACCUAACCAGAGAGCCACGGCUAACUACGUGCCAGCAGCCGC
This 415-nucleotide ribosomal RNA is filed under the name Bacillus sp. CSu1_28. RNAcentral's name for it is "bacterial SSU rRNA". It matches the Rfam family "Bacterial small subunit ribosomal RNA", at positions 118 to 518 of the family's 1533-position model. The record is from RNAcentral. Lineage: Bacteria; Bacillati; Bacillota; Bacilli; Caryophanales; Bacillaceae.